Molecule: ribosomal RNA, 1016 nt
Filed under: uncultured bacterium
Lineage: Bacteria
Description: bacterial SSU rRNA
Rfam family: Bacterial small subunit ribosomal RNA
Source: RNAcentral
GAAUAUUGGUCAAUGGACGAGAGUCUGAACCAGCCAAGUAGCGUGAAGGAUGACUGCCCUAUGGGUUGUAAACUUCUUUUAUAUGGGAAUAAAGUAUUCCACGUGUGGAAUUUUGUAUGUACCAUAUGAAUAAGGAUCGGCUAACUCCGUGCCAGCAGCCGCGGUAAUACGGAGGAUCCGAGCGUUAUCCGGAUUUAUUGGGUUUAAAGGGAGCGUAGGUGGAUUGUUAAGUCAGUUGUGAAAGUUUGCGGCUCAACCGUAAAAUUGCAGUUGAUACUGGAUGUCUUGAGUGCAGUUGAGGCAGGCGGAAUUCGUGGUGUAGCGGUGAAAUGCUUAGAUAUCACGAAGAACUCCGAUUGCGAAGGCAGCCUGCUAAGCUGCAACUGACAUUGAGGCUCGAAAGUGUGGGUAUCAAACAGGAUUAGAUACCCUGGUAGUCCACACGGUAAACGAUGAAUACUCGCUGUUUGCGAUAUACGGCAAGCGGCCAAGCGAAAGCGUUAAGUAUUCCACCUGGGGAGUACGCCGGCAACGGUGAAACUCAAAGGAAUUGACGGGGGCCCGCACAAGCGGAGGAACAUGUGGUUUAAUUCGAUGAUACGCGAGGAACCUUACCCGGGCUUAAAUUGCACUCGAAUGAUCCGGAAACGGUUCAGCUAGCAAUAGCGAGUGUGAAGGUGCUGCAUGGUUGUCGUCAGCUCGUGCCGUGAGGUGUCGGCUUAAGUGCCAUAACGAGCGCAACCCUUGUUGUCAGUUACUAACAGGUGAUGCUGAGGACUCUGACAAGACUGCCAUCGUAAGAUGUGAGGAAGGUGGGGAUGACGUCAAAUCAGCACGGCCCUUACGUCCGGGGCUACACACGUGUUACAAUGGGGGGUACAGAGGGCCGCUACCACGCGAGUGGAUGCCAAUCCCUAAAACCCCUCUCAGUUCGGACUGGAGUCUGCAACCCGACUCCACGAAGCUGGAUUCGCUAGUAAUCGCGCAUCAGCCACGGCGCGGUGAAUACGUUCCCG